AACGAACGCGGGCGGCAUGCCUAACACAUGCAAGUCGAACGAACCCUUCGGGGUGAGUGGCGCACGGGUGCGUAACGCGUGGGAACCUGCCCUUAGGUUCGGAAUAACAGUGAGAAAUCGCUGCUAAUACCGGAUAAUGUCUUCGGACCAAAGAUUUAUCGCCUUUGGAUGGGCCCGCGUUGGAUUAGCUAGUUGGUGGGGUAAAGGCUCACCAAGGCGACGAUCCAUAGCUGGUCUUAGAGGAUGAUCAGCCACACUGGGACUGAGACACGGCCCAGACUCCUACGGGAGGCAGCAGUGGGGAAUAUUGGACAAUGGGCGAAAGCCUGAUCCAGCAAUGCCGCGUGAGUGAUGAAGGCCUUAGGGUUGUAAAGCUCUUUUACCAGGGAUGAUAAUGACAGUACCUGGAGAAUAAGCUCCGGCUAACUCCGUG
This 433-nucleotide ribosomal RNA is filed under the name uncultured bacterium. RNAcentral describes it as "bacterial SSU rRNA". It matches the Rfam family "Bacterial small subunit ribosomal RNA", at positions 29 to 507 of the family's 1533-position model. The record is from RNAcentral.